RNAcentral lists this ribosomal RNA (492 nucleotides) under uncultured bacterium. RNAcentral's name for it is "partial 16S ribosomal RNA". It matches the Rfam family "Bacterial small subunit ribosomal RNA", at positions 29 to 507 of the family's 1533-position model. The record is from RNAcentral.
AGUGAACGCUGGCGGUAGGCCUAACACAUGCAAGUCGAACGGCAGCACAGUAAGAGCUUGCUCUUACGGGUGGCGAGUGGCGGACGGGUGAGGAAUACAUCGGAAUCUACUUUUUCGUGGGGGAUAACGUAGGGAAACUUACGCUAAUACCGCAUACGACCUACGGGUGAAAGCAGGGGAUCUUCGGACCUUGCGCGAUUGAAUGAGCCGAUGUCGGAUUAGCUAGUUGGCGGGGUAAAGGCCCACCAAGGCGACGAUCCGUAGCUGGUCUGAGAGGAUGAUCAGCCACACUGGAACUGAGACACGGUCCAGACUCCUACGGGAGGCAGCAGUGGGGAAUAUUAGACAAUGGGCGCAAGCCUGAUCCAGCCAUACCGCGUGGGUGAAGAAGGCCUUCGGGUUGUAAAGACCUUUUGUUGGGAAAGAAAAGCAGCAGGUUAAUACCCCGCUGUUCUGACGGUACCCAAAGAAUAAGCACCGGCUAACUUCGUG